Molecule: ribosomal RNA, 494 nt
Filed under: uncultured bacterium
Lineage: Bacteria
Description: bacterial SSU rRNA
Rfam family: Bacterial small subunit ribosomal RNA
Source: RNAcentral
AAAGGAAUAGACGGGGGCCCGCACAAGCAGUGGAGUAUGUGGUUUAAUUCGACGCAACGCGAAGAACCUUACCAGGGCUUGACAUCCUCUGACCGCAGCAGAGAUGCUGUUUUCCCUUCGGGGACAGAGAGACAGGUGGUGCAUGGUUGUCGUCAGCUCGUGUCGUGAGAUGUUGGGUUAAGUCCCGCAACGAGCGCAACCCCUAUGGUCAGUUGCCAGCACAUAAUGGUGGGCACUCUGGCGAGACUGCCGUUGACAAAACGGAGGAAGGUGGGGACGACGUCAAAUCAUCAUGCCCCUUAUGUCCUGGGCUACACACGUACUACAAUGGCAACAACAGAGGGCAGCCAUGCCGCGAGGCAGAGCGAAUCCCAAAAUGUUGUCUCAGUUCAGAUUGCAGGCUGCAACUCGCCUGCAUGAAGUCGGAAUUGCUAGUAAUGGCAGGUCAGCAUACUGCCGUGAAUACGUUCCCGGGCCUUGUACACACCGCCCGU